UUGAAGAACCUUGUCUUUAUUUACAGGAGGUCUGAAUGUUUCUGUGCUGUAACUUCCAUGUUCAUUGAUAAUGGCUGCAUUUUAACCAAUGAUGAUGAUGUUUAUUAAUUGAACAGGUUGAAGGUCAAAGAUGAUGAAAUGAAGAUUUAAAUAACACCAAUUGAGAAGACAACUUAAAUGAAACAUUGCCUUACCACUGCAAUUGAAAUACACAUGAAAUUCAGCUACUGCCUAACACUUGGUUCUCCAGAUCUAGUUGGCCCAUUAGGAGCUCUCUGCUCUGAUUUACUUUCCAUGUUUUUGUGCAAGAUCCUUCAAGCUGAGAUUUACAGAUAUAAUUUACAAUCCCCGUAACAACCCCACCACUGUUAUACUUUACUAGAACAUCUAUCUUUCAACCCAAGCCAAACAAAAACUUAGAUACUUUCGGACAUCUUCUGAAACAUUAAAAAAAAAAAUAAAUAUAUAUAUUUUGACUUCUUUAUGCAGCCCAACAUGUGUAUAGUGAAACACUCAUUUAUCCCAUUUUUAAAAACUAAGAUGAAAUACCAUUAAACAUUUAAGCCAUUUUACAACAAGAUUUAAGAACAGGCACACUGCAAAAAAUAUUUCAACUGUAGUUCAGUAGAACAAACACUAAGAGAUACAGCAAGAAAAGGAAAUGGCUUUCUUUUCAGGAGUUGACAACUAAAUAUUGUAAUUCUUUAGAGAGCACUUGAAAAAGGGCAAGUAAUUUGAAAAAUGGUACUAACCUUUAAAGCCAAGUACUAACACGCUCCUGCAUUUGGUAAGGGAUAUGCCCUCCCCUCAGAACUGGAAUGGCUUUGCAUCUUUGCAAACCAGUUAAGGCUGACACCUUUUUUUUGUCAUUUAAUGCACACUGCAGAAAAACAAAUGAUGAAACAGUUCACAGCCCUUGCAUCAAAUUUUGUAAGAACUCAGAAUAAACAAAGAUCCAAAACACAGUCAUGCAGCAUAAAGUAAUGACAACAUUCUAUAUUCACUAAGUAAAAGAAACCACUAUUAUAAACAGGUCAAUUUUGACACCUGUUCCCAUCAAGGUAAAACUCUUUUCAAAACUAUAACCAAGAGAAGUGGUCUCUAAAGUAAAUUGCCUGCACCCCAGUGGAUGUGCAAGUCAAUCCAUUUGGGUGCAAGAAGAAAGUAUAUUUUAUACCAUUAAUAAACAAAUUUUUAAGUAAUUUAAAAAUAGUGUUUAUUUCAUCUUUAUCUCAUACUUUUUCAAUUUCUACUCUGUGUAUGUACGUAUUAGGACAGUAGUACAAUAUACUAUAAAUGAAUGAACAUACAUAUAUUGGGUGCACCUUAAAGUUUUUACUGAUGGGGUGUGCAAUCAAAAAAUGUUCGGAGACCACUGGCCUUGAGCAGCUGUAUGAUACUACAGCUGCUAACCCAAACAUAACUGCUAGCACCAUCCUGUCGCUGAAUUUAUUUUUUUACUGUCAAUCUGAAACAGUCUCCUCAGCAGCAUGUUUCAUGUUUUCAAUAUACGCAUGACAAUUUUUUUUCCACUCAAGCAUGCUGAUAUAACAGAAAUUUUAGAAAGAUGAGGCCUGGCUAACAAGGCCUUGUUGACAGAGCAUCCUUUAGUGGAGUUACACUGAAGUUAUAACUUUGUAUCAGAUACAUAUGAAAUUAUCAUUAAAACAUACACAACUUCUAAAUCAGAUUAAAGCUAUCCUUUCCUUUUUGCAGUUUGGUAGUCUUGUUUUCGUCCUGCACCAGCACUUCUCUUUCACCGCCCCCCACCCCAUCCCCAUGUGAAACCAUGCAACCUCUGCUUGCUGCUUGCCACUUGGUCUCUGUCAGUGCUGCAAGCAGUCCUUGAGCUACACACUCUGGGCCUUGGGAUGCUGCUGAGGGGUCUGGGGACCGUGCCCUACUUGAGCUAGCACCUCAACACUUCAGACUCCUCUUGUGGCCCUUGCUGCAGACACAAAUGCUGAGGAGACACCACAGGGUGGCGGCCUCUGGCCACGCAGAGAUGCAGAUGAAGGUGAAGGUCCGAAAUGGCCACCCAGCAAGUAUCCCAACAUUGCAGUGCAUGUGGUAGCGUGCUGUUUACCAAGGCUUCAAUGGAAGGUUGUGCAUUUUCACGUGCCUAUUCCAGCACUCUUACAACCAACUCCUAAAAAUGUUACCUGCACUGGAAAAAAACAGGAAGAAGACAUGUGUAUCCUGAAUCCACAUACCUGCCUAGAAUCCAGCAGACAUAGAAAAAAUACUUCUGUUUUAAAUAAGAAAGCAGCAUAUCGUAUUUAAAACCACCCAUCUCUGCUUCACUCUGGCUAGUUCUGUUUACACUUGACCUGACACCUGUAUGAUUUAAGAGCGUAUUACUCAGCCAUGAAUUCAGAUGAAGGUAGGCCUAUGAUGCCUGGCUGUAGGGAACAUGAAAGUUUUUAAGAUCAUGUAAUCUGAUCUCAUUUUUAAAUCAUAGAUCAUUUGAAAACAUUGAAAAAGUCCAAUAAUUUACAUCUGAUUACAGCCUAAGGAUACCAAGGGCUACAGCCCAUUUUACAUCCCAUAGUAGGCUGUUAACCAAGGAAUCACCCAUGUUAGGAAUGGAAAAAAUUUCCUUGCAUCACAAGUCUUUCUAGCUUUCAAUUUCUAUCACUUCAUAAUUUUUAUGCCUUGCUCCCCUAAAUCAGAGACCAACACCACCCAAAACUGCGCAGUCAGUCUUUGUUAUGUCAUUUUUAGCAUUCCCUUCAUUUACACUUUAAUCUUGGAGCCUUAAAAAGAAAACCGGCAAUGUGGCACAAUGGGAAGCCCAAAAGAAAACUCUAGGAAAGGACCUCUGGUUUAUCAAGUCUAGUUGCCUAUUAUUCAGACACCACUUUGCAUUUAAUUUCUUUCAUAGAUAUACUUGGCUCUUCCUUCAAAGCAGGUCUCUGCCUGGAAGGCUGUUCCAGAAUUAGUUCUAGUAAUUAGGAACUUUGUUUCUAAUCUAAAUCUUAUUUACAGAAAGUUAUACCCACUUGCUUUUAUUCUAACACUCCUUCAGCCCGGAGUACUUCUGCCCUUCCCCUUGACAUUCAUGUAGAAAAAAAAGUAAUAUUCUGACUCCAUAAACAACUAUACUGCUACAGCAAAAAAAACCCCCCCCAAAAAAACCCCAAAAAACCCCCACAAAACAACAAAAAAAACCCCAAACAAAAAAAAAACCCCCCAAAAAACAAAAAAAAA
This is a long non-coding RNA of Strigops habroptila (Kakapo), 3210 nucleotides long. Lineage: Eukaryota; Metazoa; Chordata; Aves; Psittaciformes; Psittacidae. The record is from Ensembl.